Molecule: ribosomal RNA, 484 nt
Filed under: uncultured bacterium
Lineage: Bacteria
Description: partial 16S ribosomal RNA
Rfam family: Bacterial small subunit ribosomal RNA
Source: RNAcentral
AUUGAACGCUGGCGGCAGGCCUAACACAUGCAAGUCGAGCGGAUUAAGGGAGCUUGCUCCUGGAUUCAGCGGCGGACGGGUGGGUAAUGCCUAGGAAUCUGCCUGGUAGUGGGGGAUAACGUCCGGAAACGGGCGCUAAUACCGCAUACGUCCUGAGGGAGAAAGUGGGGGAUCUUCGGACCUCACGCUAUCAGAUGAGCCUAGGUCGGAUUAGCUAGUUGGUGGGGUAAAGGCCUACCAAGGCGACGAUCCGUAACUGGUCUGAGAGGAUGAUCAGUCACACUGGAACUGAGACACGGUCCAGACUCCUACGGGAGGCAGCAGUGGGGAAUAUUGGACAAUGGGCGAAAGCCUGAUCCAGCCAUGCCGCGUGUGUGAAGAAGGUCUUCGGAUUGUAAAGCACUUUAAGUUGGGAGGAAGGGCAGUAAGUUAAUACCUUGCUGUUUUGACGUUACCAACAGAAUAAGCACCGGCUAACUUCGUG